AGCAAAUGUGGGCACCUUUAGAAACAGAACAGCAAGGGGCUGCCAAAAUGUUGAUUUUUCAAAGAGGGAGGUUUUAAUCCUGUCACAAUAUUCUAUUCAAAACAAACAUUAUAUGCAGAAGAAGACAGCAACAUCAAGAAGAGCAAGACGCUUGCAAGACUGAGAUAAGACUAAGAUAGAAGACUUGCCAGAAAUGAGACCCAGGAGAAAGGCAUUGUUUCCUGCAAUUACACAGUUGCCAGGGAAACUGUGUAUGGAAGUUAGCCUAAGUGCAAGUAAAAAAAUGAAGCAUCUCA
Molecule: long non-coding RNA, 296 nt
Filed under: Homo sapiens (human)
Lineage: Eukaryota; Metazoa; Chordata; Mammalia; Primates; Hominidae
Description: HSALNT0292041
Source: RNAcentral